This 2424-nucleotide long non-coding RNA is filed under the name Mus musculus (house mouse). RNAcentral's name for it is "long non-coding RNA chr9:40810543-40812967". The record is from RNAcentral. Lineage: Eukaryota; Metazoa; Chordata; Mammalia; Rodentia; Muridae.
UUUUGGCCCUGGCGUUCCCCUGUACUGGGGCAUAUAAAGUUUGCAAGUCCAAUGGGCCUCUCUUUUCAGUGAUGGCUGACUAGGCCAUCUUUUGAUACAUAUGCAGCUAGAGUCAAGAGCUCCAGGGUACUGGUUAGUUCAUAUUGUUGUUCCACCUAUAGGGUUGCAGAUCUCUUUAGCUCCUUGGGUACUUUCUCUAGCUCCUCCAUUGGGAGCCCUGUGAUUCAUCCAAUAGCUGACUGUGAUCAUCCACUUCUGUGUUUGCUAGGCCCCGGCAUAGUCUCACAAGAGAGAGCUAUAUCUGGGUCCUUUCAGCAAAAUCUUGCUAGUGUAUGCAAUGGGGUCAGCGUUUGGAAGCUGAUUAUGGGAUGGAUCCCCGGAUAUGGCAGUCUCUAAAUGGUCCAUCCUUUCGUCACAGCUCCAAACUUUGUCUCUGUAACUCCUUCCAUGGGUGUUUUGUUCCCAAUUCUAAGAAGGGUCCAACCCUCUUUUUAAAGGUUAAUUAAUUUAUUUUAUUAAAACAAGUGCUCUUAAUCACUGAGCCUUGGUAAUAGUUUUAAAUAUAUCCAUAACCUCUGUCUUUCCACUUCUUUAGCAAAGGUACAAUUGAAUUCUCUCCCUUGGCCUUGGAGACUGACUUAGAGCAGAUAGAACGUGGACAACGUGACUCUGAGGCCCCUCUAAGUUUAGAUUAUCAAAGCCACAUGGCUCCCGCCUGGUUCACUGUAGGCAUCUCCCGUUGCCCUCUGGGAAGUGUGCUUUACCCCAGCCUUCAUUUGGACAGACCGCCUGGAUGGGGAGCUUCUGGCACUGGGUGAGGAAGGGAAGAGCAAACUGACUCUGUCCCAGCCACCCGAUGUCUCUCAUGAGAGGCUCAGAUGAUCCUAGCCUCCUCAGGCCUAGAAGCAAAAUAAAUGUUGCUGGAGAUACAGGUUUUCAGCAUUGUUUAGCACAGUUUGUCACACAGUCACAGAACUAGGACAGUCACAUUGUGGUUACGUUAGAUCACCAAGCUAUUUAUAAAAAGCCUUAAAUUAAUAACAUGAGCCUCCUGUUCUCAAUUUCCUUUUCUUCUCUCUCUGUCUCUGUCUGUCUCUCUCUGUCUCUUUGUCUCUCUGUCUCUGUCUCUCUCUCUGGUUUUUGUUUUGUUUUUCUGAUACAAGGUAUCUCUGUGUAGCCCUGGCCAUUCUAGAAUUUGCUUUGUGGACCAGGCCGGUCUUGAACUCACAGAGAUCUAUCUGCCUGUAACUCCAGAGUACUGGGAUCAAAAGCGUGCACCACUAUACCAGGCUCUCCAAUUUCUUUUCAAGUUUUUUUUUUUCAAAACACGAUUUCAAUCUGAUUAUUAAUAUAAAUAUUAAAACAUCAACAUUUAAAAUCAUUACCUUUCUCUUCUCUCUCUCUCUCUCUUUUCUUUUUUAGAUUAUUUCUUUUGAUUUAAUGUGUAUUGGUGUUUCACCUGUAUGUGUGGUCUGGGCACCAUGUGCAUGCAGUACCAGUGGAUACCAGAAGAGGGUGUCAGAUCUCCUAGAACUGAAGAAACAGGUGGCUGUUAGCCCCACAUGGGUGCCAAUUGAACUCAGGUUCUCUGGAAGAGUACCAAGUGUUCCCGACAGCCAAACCAUCUCUUCAGCCCCUCAUUAUGUGUCUUUAUUGGUACAUAGUUUAUUUUGUUGUUGUUGGACAUAGGACCUCUUGGAGCCCACAAUGGCACUGAAUUCACUAUUUAAUUGAAGUUGGCCUUGAACUCCUGAUUCCCCUGACUCCACCUCUCAAAUGCUAAGAUUACAUGUCUGUGCAGUCAUGGCCAGCAAUCAGCUCAAUUUUUGUUAAAAGAGCAGGCUGACAUAUGAUGGGGAUGUUAUUGACUCUAUGGCUCAAACUGAGUAGAGCUGACAGUUUAAUAAUAUUAGGUCUGAAGAUGGAACAGCUCUCCAUUACAUAGGGCUUCAAUAAUCUGCCAAUUGGUAGUUAAACACGAAGAACUCUUGUGUUUCAUUUCUUUUUUAUAUAUAUAUUUAUUUAUUAUAUGUAAGUACACUGUAGCUGUCUUCAGACAUCCCGGAAGAGGGCAUCAGAUCUCAUUACGGAUGGUUGUGAGCCACCAUGUGGUUGCUGGGAUUUGAACUCAGGAUCUCUGGAAGAGCAGUCAGCGCUCUUAACCACUGAGCCAUCUCUCCAGCCCUGUGUUUCAUUUCUUAAAUUUAUUCCUAAUUAUAUGGAUUUGUUUUGUUUUUCACAAAUAACUCACAGGCUGAGCUUGAGCUAGUGAGUAGCUUACCAUCUCAGCCUCCUAGGUGCUAGGAUUCCAGGUGUGAGCCACUCCACUCGGCUAACUAUGUGUUUGAUGCCACUGUAAAUGAAAUUGUUUUCAAACUUUAUUUUCUAGUUAUUUAUUCCUUUUAUAUAGGGAUGGCAUAAAAU